AAACUUUCAACAACGGAUCUCUUGGUUCUGGCAUCAAUGAAGAACGCAGC
This 50-nucleotide ribosomal RNA is filed under the name uncultured fungus. RNAcentral's name for it is "partial 5.8S ribosomal RNA". It matches the Rfam family "5.8S ribosomal RNA", at positions 1 to 49 of the family's 154-position model. From Rfam's summary of the family: 5.8S ribosomal RNA (5.8S rRNA) is a component of the large subunit of the eukaryotic ribosome. Lineage: Eukaryota; Fungi. The record is from RNAcentral.